GCCCUAGUGGUGUAACGGUUAAGCACAUGGCUGCUAAUCCAAAGGUUGGCGGUUCGAACCCACUCAGGGGCU
RNAcentral lists this transfer RNA (72 nucleotides) under Loxodonta africana (African savanna elephant). It matches the Rfam family "tRNA". From Rfam's summary of the family: Transfer RNA (tRNA) molecules are approximately 80 nucleotides in length. Their secondary structure includes four short double-helical elements and three loops (D, anti-codon, and T loops). The record is from Rfam by way of RNAcentral. Lineage: Eukaryota; Metazoa; Chordata; Mammalia; Proboscidea; Elephantidae.